Molecule: long non-coding RNA, 902 nt
Organism: Spinacia oleracea (spinach)
Lineage: Eukaryota; Viridiplantae; Streptophyta; Magnoliopsida; Caryophyllales; Amaranthaceae
Exons: 2
Source: RefSeq, a predicted model, not a curated record
UGUAAUUGUGGUUGCAAAUUUGCAGGGAAUAAAAAAUUUAGGGGUACUUGAGAUGCAAAUUGCUUUUAUUAUUUUGUAUAUUUAUUGAGAUUGGUGGGAUUAUUGGAAAUUUGAAGUUUAGUUUUUGAGAAUGAGAUUUUUGGGUUGUGUUACUUUGAGAUGAAUUUUUGUGGAAAUUUAAUUCAAUUUAACAUGAUAAUUUGAUUUUUUCUAUUUUUCCUUCCUUUUAAUGAUAGAUUCCAGAAAUGAAUUUGUUGUCUACAGAUCCCUUAAUAUUGAUAUUGUGGAUUGUGGAUUAAGCCUAAUUAGUAAUUUACUUGUGAGUUAUCAGGAGUUCGUAUUAAUGUUUGUUUAUUCAGAGGUUUAAUUGGUUAUUUUGAGGCCUCUAAACAUGGAGGAUCUGAGGCAAGCAAAGAAUCAAGUAAUGAAUUGUAAAAUCCAAGAAUAUGAACUUGAAAAUUUAUUUCAAACACUAUAUAAAAUGUUAAAUCUUACAACUUUGCACUUCCUGUACUGCAGUUUCUGAUAGUUUUGCUUAUGAGGGUGCAGUACUGAACGAACUAAAGCAAUGGAAGGAGCUCUAUGGAGAAGGAGGGUCAAGAAAUGAGCAACUUACUUACUUCUUAUAGGAAGGUGGUAUGGAGAAGGCGGGUCAAGAAAGAAGGAUCAGUUGUAAGAGAACUCUGAGUCCUCUUUGGCAAUAGAUACAUAUCAUAAGGCACUGAAGGAAGCUUAUGUAAUUUGUAUUUCUUGUUAAACACUUUUGGUGGGCGAGUGGGAAAAAGCGAGUUUUAGAUAUAGAUGCAACGAGGGCUUACAUAUAUCUACUUAUACCGUAUUCUGUAUUAAGAGUUUGCUCAUGUUGUAUAAGAAAAAUAAAGCCUAAUUUAACUUACAAUUAA